This 3869-nucleotide long non-coding RNA is filed under the name Sus scrofa (pig). RNAcentral describes it as "lncRNA (ENSSSCG00005029120.1)". The record is from RNAcentral. Lineage: Eukaryota; Metazoa; Chordata; Mammalia; Artiodactyla; Suidae.
AGUACUUCCUCAGUUACAUUAGCUGCAUUUCCAAUUUUAUUUUUAUUAUUUGUUAUUAUUAUUAUUAUUUUUGGCUGUGCACGUGGCAUGCAGAAGUUCCCAGGCCAGGGAUCGAAUUCACACCACAGCAGUGACAAUGCCAGAUGUUUAACUGCUAGGCCACCAGGGAAUUCCUAUAAUUUGGUAUUCUCUUCCUCAAAGAGACCCUCAAUAUUUUAUUAACUUCAGAGUCUAUAAAACUGGUUGGAAAGACCAUAUCUUGUGCCUCUUUGAAUCCUUUUAAACUUGGUUUAGUAAUGCUGAUCAUCAUAAUGAUGAUGAUUCUGAGACUUACAGAGCAUUUACAAGGCAUUCUCAGUCAUCUCAUUGGAUCCUUACAAACUAAAAGUUAGGCAUGGCCAUUGCCACUUUUACAGAUGACAAAACUGACUGCAGAGACACAAAGUGAUUUUUGCCUAAGGCCACCUAGCUAGUAAGUGACGGAGCCAGAGCUGAAGCUCAAGACUAUGGAUUCCAGAUGUCAUGCUUCCUCCUCUUAGGUUUUUGCUGCCUGUGGGUUCUGAAAGCCUUUCCAGCACUUACGGGAGGAUGCUCCUCCCCACCCCACCCCAUGCAGACCCAUUCGAAGAGCACUCCAUCUCCAUCCAACAAUUAUCUAAGUUGAAGUCGUCCAUCCUGCAUUUUUAAGUUAUUUUCCAGAUAAUGAACAUUUUUAACCAAUACAGGGUGCCCGAUACUAAUCACACAGAGCAAUCCGUAGGUGUAGGAAUUGCAUUUACCUUCCAAGCCCUAAUUGUGUUCAUUUCUUUGGGAGAACUUCUUCAACUGCCUGUCUUCAAGAGACUCUUAAAGCUCCCAAGAAAUUGCUAAGUGAUACUAGGAAUACACUUGCCUGAAUCUAGAGAUUUUGGGUAAGUAGCCUCUAAUUUAUCAUUUUACAUUACAGAAAGCCUGGAGAAUUAUAUAAAAGCCUUUGGCUUUUGCAGCUGUAUGUAAAAAUAUUCCCAAACUAGAGGAGCCCUCGAUCAUUAAUGAUGUCUAAACACUGACCCUGGAGAAAUCACUGUGUGUCUAGUCAUUCCCAAGGACAUGCCAGCUGUAAAAGCCAUGCAAGGAAGUACCUCCACCAGCAGGCCCUUGUCUUCUUUCCCAGACUUAAGCUGUCAGUGGAAAAGAGGUAAACAGAGACAGAAGUUGAGAACUCAGUCUCUGGAGUCGGGCCAGGCUGGGUGUGACCCUAGCUCCACCCCUUACCAGCUGUGGGGCUUAUGCAUAUCGCUUAACUUCAUUCAUCGAUUCCACAAAUAGUUGCUCAGUGAGCACCUACUAAAUGCCAGCUGACCAUUGUAGGUACUGAGACAAAGGAGUGAAAAAACAAAACUAUUGGAGUUCCUGAUGUGGCACAAAGGAACAUCAGUGGUGUCUUGGGAGCGCUGUGACUCAGGUUUAAUUCCAGAUAGGCACAGUGGGUUAAGAAUCAGGCAUUGCUGCAGCUCAAUAUUUAGCCUCGAUUUUAGAUUUUAAAAACAUUUGGUAUUGCUUGUUUAUAUUUUGAGCCACUCCAAAACCCUGCUUUUUAGAAAAUUCUUGAGGGAUUUCCCUCAGUGGGGCAUGUAUGAGAAACAGUCUCUGGAGCUUUGGGCCACAUGGACGGGAACUGUGAGGGCAACGGGAGAGUUACGUCCACUUGGUGAACACAGCCAUGGUCAUGAUCAGAACUUGCUCAGGUGGCCUUUGCACAGAUAUUCAUAGAAGAGCUUCCUUUUCGGUUUUAUUCUGAAGGGAUUCUGCUGAUACUAUUUUUACCACUGGAAUUUCUGUCUGCCCAGAACACAAUUUUAAAGUUUCAAAUGAAACAUUUACCUGAAUCCCUGACAUUACAGCUCACAUUCAUUUCCUUUCCUCUUGCCCUCCAGGUCUCAGCAGUGAGAUGGCCCAACCAAGAAAGAGAUCCCCCCCGACUCCUGCUCAGAUCUGAUACCUGGGCUUUUCCUUGGGCCUCUCUGGGAUGUACCAAAACCCAAAGCCCAUGUACUGGCCAACCCUCCUUGGUACAGACACCAGGUCCAGAAUCACUCUGUCUUUGACAGUCAAGUGCACGGUCCUUUUCUCCUGCUCCCAAAGGAUCACACUAUCCUUCCUUGGUCUUUUUGUCAUUGAGAAUCCAUUUCCCAUUGGGAUCUGGAGUUCACUUCCUUGCCUCAAAUUUUUGAGAUGGGUUGAAACAAUAAGUAAGGUCAAAUUGUAUGAAAUUGCCAAAUAUCAGCUAUUUUUUUUUUUUUUUAACCUAAAGGAAGGAAGGAGGGGAGGAAGAAAAGCUUAAAGAAGCCAGGGCUGGAAAUAGGUAACUACUCAUCUAUUCUGCUCUUUAAUGAUAAUUGUAGUUGAUGGAAUGUUUCCUCUUUAUGAAGUACUGGGCCAAGCAAAAUUUUACAUACAUCAUCUCAGUCAUUGUAGCAAGUGCAUGAAGUCCAGCUCCCUCUAUCAUCUCAUUCAAUUUCCAGUUUAAGGAUGCAAAACUGAGGGUCAGAGUUGUCAAGAGUCUUUCCCAAGGUCCUUCAACUCUAACCAGAGAAGCCAAGAGCUAUAUGCUAUAUCUUCUAUGUGACAAGGAUGGAUUACAAAUCAUUAAUCUCAAUAACUUCCACUACCUUCUUGUAAUCACCUAUGUUGUCAUUAUUAUAAGAGUAAUAGUGUUCAAUAUAGGAAAUCUGAAAAUUGUAUAACAUAUGACAGAAAAAAAUUAAAAAUGCAUAAAUCAAAGAUAAGUUCUACUAAUAUUCUGGAGUCUCUCUCAUUCUGUUUUUCUGAUUUAUUCUGCUUUUUAACAAAUUUGGAAUUGUCCUGUUUAUAUUGCUUUGUACCCUGCCUUAAAAAAAUAAAUACUAUGUCAUGAGUAUUAUUCCAAAUCAUUAAAAAUUCUCCAAAAAAGUGUUUGGUCGCAUUAUAUUGAUAUAUAAGUACUAUAACAUUAAUUGUUCAAUUGUUUUCUUCUUGUUGGAAAAUAAGUUCAUGUAUUUUGCUGUUAUAUGAUAAAGAUCCUUGAACAAAAGUCUCUGUUUUUAGUCCCCAGUGGCAGCCAAGUUUGUCUUAGAGAUGAUCUCCUUCUGACAAAUGUCAUCAGUUACAUUUUCUGGUUGUUUAGUCACAAUGGAGUUGAUACAGCACACCUGCUGGGAGCUGACACAGCUGUGCCUGUGGUGUGAGGGCCAGGCCAAAGGCCAACAACGGGCAGAGUGGCUGGGCCUGCCACUGCCCACUCCACUCGGUGCUGGGCUCAGCCUGGUGAGGACUUCCUGGGGGAAGUGGGAGGAGCAGAAGUGGCGGAAGCAGGGAGAGCGCAAGUGUGGCUACUGUCCUGCACCCCUGAGAGCUCACCAGCGGCACAGAGCAGCUCACCUUGGUCCAGCCUUGGCACGUAGGGUGGCACCUAUCAUGUGGCUUGGGACACUGCACGUGUCCUCAGGCCUUCCUUCUGCAGCACACUUUCUAACCACCACAAACAAAACAGAGGACAGUGAGCAAAACACUUCCUUUUAGUUCCUCUUACCUUCCUUCAAUCCCCAAACCUACUUGUAAGUGGUCAAACUCACUUUCCCCACUCAGAGAAGAAAGGAGGGGGCUGACUUCUUUCACUGGGGACAGGGAGAAGAAAGGAAAGGGAAGAAGGCAGAAACAUAGCCAUUAGACUACAUUACCAGUUUCAUCUCUGGCUUCAUGCUUUCUUUCCUAAAGACUCACAUUUUGUAAUAUUUUAAAGCACUUAACUCAGUAAGAUUUAUUGAAUGUGUACUAUGUGCAAAGCACUGUGUUUAAGGCAGUGGAGAAUGGAAAUGGCCAAGGCCUAUCUUAAAAAAAAAAAAAAAAAA